AAAUUGAAGAGUUUGAUCAUGGCUCAGAUUGAACGCUGGCGGCAGGCCUAACACAUGCAAGUCGAGCGGAAACGAGUUAUCUGAACCUUCGGGGAACGAUAACGGCGUCGAGCGGCGGACGGGUGAGUAAU
Molecule: ribosomal RNA, 131 nt
Filed under: Vibrio alginolyticus
Lineage: Bacteria; Pseudomonadati; Pseudomonadota; Gammaproteobacteria; Vibrionales; Vibrionaceae
Also listed under: 4 other names
Description: partial 16S ribosomal RNA
Rfam family: Bacterial small subunit ribosomal RNA
Source: RNAcentral